RNAcentral lists this small RNA (1109 nucleotides) under uncultured bacterium. RNAcentral's name for it is "bacterial SSU rRNA". The stretch from base 1 to 489 matches the Rfam family "Bacterial small subunit ribosomal RNA", at positions 1045 to 1533 of the family's 1533-position model. The record is from RNAcentral.
AUGGCUGUCGUCAGCUCGUGUCGUGAGAUGUUGGGUUAAGUCCCGCAACGAGCGCAACCCCUACCCUUAAUUGCCAUCGGGUUAUGCCGGGCACUUUAGGGGGACUGCCGGUGACAAGCCGGAGGAGGGUGGGGAUGACGUCAAGUCCUCAUGGCCUUUAUGACCAGGGCUACACACGUGUUACAAUGGGAGUUACAGAGGGAAGCUAAGCCGCGAGGCCAUGCCAAUCCCAGAAAAACUUUCUCAGUUCGGAUCGCAGUCUGCAACUCGACUGCGUGAAGCUGGAAUCGCUAGUAAUCGCGGAUCAGCACGCCGCGGUGAAUACGUUCCCGGGCCUUGUACACACCGCCCGUCACACCAUGGGAGCCGACAAGGGCAGAAGUCGCCGAGCUAACCUUCGGGAAGCAGGCGCCCAAGCUGUUGUUGACGACUGGGGUGAAGUCGUAACAAGGUAGCCGUAGGAGAACCUGCGGCUGGAUCACCUCCUUUCUAAGGACGCCGGAGAUGCUUUAUGCUUAUCUCCGGAUAGUCAAAGUCGAAACAGACUCUCUUCUCUUCUCUCCCUUUUCUCCUGUAAAUGCUAAGUUAUGAAUUUAGAGCAACGAAGAAAUUGAAUUCGUUACUGUGGACUCCUAAUUUCAAGAGGGGCCUGUAGCUCAGCUUGGUUAGAGCGCAUCCCUGAUAAGGAUGAGGCCGGUGGUUCAAGUCCACCCAGGCCCACCAGGUUCAGUGGGGGAUUAGCUCAGCUGGUAGAGCGCCUGCUUUGCAAGCAGGAGGUCAGCGGUUCGACCCCGCUAUCCUCCACCAAAUUAAUGAACAGUAAAAAAAGGUGGUGCAGCUUAAGCAGAAGAUAAGCUUCAGCAAUUAUUUAAUAAUUUCUGAAUUUUAUUUUUUAAUAUCUUAGACAAUUGAAUCGGAGGUUUUGGAGACACAAGAUCAAAUGUGAGGGUCUCCAAGGGUUGACGAUCUUGACUGUUAAAGUCAGGUAGUAAGGGCGCAGGGCGGAUGCCUUGGCUCUGGGAAGCGAAGAAGGACGUGGCCAGCUGCGAUAAGCCUCGGGGAAGAGCAAACAUCUUUUGAUCCGGGGAUUUCCGAAUGGGGAAACCCGG